UUCUCUCACUCGCAUCAAAUCUCACCUAUAAAUACCUAUUAACUCAAACCAACUUAUGCAAUAACUUCUUGCAGGCGGGUUAACUUGAUUUAGGGAUGUUUUCGGUAUUUCUUCGGCAGGGCUCGAUCGAAUGAUAAAUGGUUCAGGUCCUACGAUGGCUGUAUGGAGAAAAUUAAAAUUUCUGUUCUAUUAUUGACUCUUUUUGAGUUUUGUUACGAUUUAGGUUUUAGGGUUUGAUGCCUGUUUUUCUGUAGUUUGUUCUGUUCAACACAAAUAUUUUCUGGACCUAAACUUUUCUCUGGCCCCGUCAACAAUGAUUUUUAAGCUUCUCACCGUGGUCAGGCAGAUCAUGUGUUUCUACGCCUCAUGCCUUUUCAAUUCAUAACUAUGGUGAAUUUUUUGAUGGCAAUAUAAUGAAUAUUGACCGGAGUUAACAGAUCAUACACGGAGGAGGGACGACAUCUAUCCUGAUUUUCCCCUAUUUAAUCAAGAAAGUGGGGGCAUUAUUUAUUUAUCUGAUAUAAUUGUGCUGGUGUAUCACGUUUUCUUCAUGUGUAGGUCAACUGAGUGGAAAAUUAGGUGUGUCAAAUGAGGACAUGCAUAAAUCUUAAGAAAGUACACUACGAUCUAAAUUUCUUCCUCGGCCUCGGUUUUUAUGCAACUGUCGUUUUUGCGGUUUGUUAUUGGGUAUUGUUGGUUUUUAUUUUCCCUUAGUCUCUCUUUAAGAAAGAUUUUAGUCUAUCUUCCAUAACCUAGGGUUUGUUGGGUUUAUGCUACGGAGGGGUGAGCCUGACCAGCUGCAGGGAAAGCAGGGAAAGUAAUGCUCAAUUUAUCUUGAUCGUAGAUGAGGCGAUGAUAGACAACUAAAGUCCCGUUGGGGGAGAGUCCAUCGGUAGAUGAGGUGAUGUUCAUCGGAAGGAGUAGCGAGCCAGAAUUGACAGGUUUUAGAUGCUUCGAAUUUGAGUACAAUCUCUCCUUUAAUCUCUCUUUUUCUCCAAUAUAUCCUAGCCGAUUUGCAGAGAUCAUUUAUUGCAGGGUAAUAAGGUAGAUUGAAUCGAACUAAAAUUAGUAUAUGGUUAUGGGUUAUGGUAUCUCCAGGGUUUCACUAUAAACAUUGGUGUGGUGCAAUCUGGGUCGCGAGUUUGGCAGAUUGACCUUGAUUUUAUUGUCUGGUUUUGAGGGUUUAACCACGAUCAUUGAAGCACUGUCCAAAAUAAUUUGAAAUAUUAAUUUUUAAAGCUUUUCCGAAAAGGUGUGUUAAGGGUCUUGUGUCAACAUUGUCCUUGAGCGAAAACAUUGAUGGCCGUGGAGUGAAUCAUCCUUGGUAAUCUGUAAGUAACUUCUUAUUGGCAUGAUUUAUUUUUGCAAUUUAAUUUGCUCUUACAAUUGGGUUAAGAAAGGAUUAAAAACAGUUCUAUGGGGAAACAUUCCGAAGGUAACUAUGCUACAGUAUGCGAAGAAACUUUAUUGGUUUGUGCCUCAGCAUGGAGGAGGUUAGUGUGUAUCUUAAUAGUGGAUGCCAAUUUCAUUACAUGCGAGGUUUUUUUGAAAUGCUAAUCGGUUAUAGCAAAUUCACCUUUAUUUAUCAUUUGCAUUGACUUUUUAAGCUAGUUUAUCUUCGGCAGGUAGUUCGGAACAGUAGAAAUCAGAGACUGAGGAACGGUGAUGUGUUAUUCAUUAGUUAUUACCUAUUACCAAUUUUCGUAAGUAAAAAAUUUCCAGUUUAUUUUGGCGAGAGAUAUUAACUUUGUGGAGAUUUGAGGACCCAAAUCUGUUGUCUUCCCUAGGUAAGAAAGUGCUCCAAUGCACAUGGAGUUAAAUUUCGACUGUGGUUUGUGUAUCUGUAUGGUGGAGGUUUGUGUUUAUCUGAAUGGUGGAUGUCUCCUUCAUUACAGGCAGGGAUCUCUGACUGUAACCAUAGUCACCAUUGUAUACCAUUUGCGUAUCUGGAUGGGGGAUGUCUACUUCAUUACAGGCAGGGAUCUUUGAAACCCUUAUCAGUAAUACUAUAGUCACCUUUACAUAUAAUUUGCUUUUACUUUUAAGCUAGGAUGUAGUCGUUUAAUCUUCGGCAGGUAAUCACGUACAUUGGAAAUCAUAGACUGCGAAACAGAAUUGUGCGCUAGAUCGCCGAUUAUUACCCAAGUAAAUCCAAGUUUUGUAAGUUAAAUGAUGGAUGUCUACUCCACUACAAACCCUUAUCGGUGGUAUCAUAGUCACCUUUAUAUAUCAUUUGUGUAUCGGAAUGGUGGAUGUCUACUUCAUUACAGGCAGGGAUCUUUGUAACCUUAAUCAGUGGUACCAUAGUCACCUUUAUAUGUCAUUUGCAUUUACUUUUAAGAUAGGGUGUAGUCGUUUAUCUUGGGCAGGUAAUUCCAAGCUGUGGAAAUCAGAGACUGCGGAACAGAGUUGUGCGCUUGAUCGCCGAUUAUCAUGUAAGUUUUGUAAGUAAAAUGGUGGAUGUCUACUUCACUACAGGAAGGCACGUUUGAAACCCUAAUUGGUUGUACCAUGGUCACCUUUUAUAUAUCAUUUGUAUUUACUUUCACGCUAGGAUGUAGUCGUGAAGGCACGUUUGAAACCCUAAUUGGUUUGUACCAUGGUCACCUUUUAUAUAUCAUUUGUAUUUACUUUCAAGCUAGGAUGUAGUCGUUUAUCUUCGGCAGGUAUUUCCGAACAGUGGAAAUCAGAGACACGAACGGAGUUGUGCGCUUGACCGCCGAUUACCAUUAAGUAAAUCAAUGUUAUGUUGUAAGUAAACUGUUGGAUGUCUACUUCAUUACAGGAACGGAUAUUUGAAACCCUAAUCGGUUGUACCUUUAUAUAUCAUUUGCAUUUACUUUUAAGGUAGGAUGUAGUCGUUUAUCUUCGGCAGGUAGAUCCGAACAUUGAAAAUCAGAGACUGCGGAGCAGAUUUGUGUGUUUGAUUGCCGAUUACCACCAAGUAAAUUAAAGUUUUGUAAGUUGAUUCGUUUCAGUUUAUCUCAACCACCAAGUAAAUUAAAGUUUUGUAAGUAGAUUCGUUUCAGUUUAUCUCAUCAUGAGGUUUAGGACUCAAACCUGUUGACUUCCUCAGGUAACAGACUGUCGAAUCUUGCUAGUAGGAGGUCUAUUUUAUUUACGUUUUUUUAAAUUUAGUGCUGGGUUGCUAAUUAGUUAGCAUUCAACUUAUAUCGACUAAAGUUAAUGCAGACUAAAGUUAAUGCAGUGAAGUAACGGGAUUUAGCUGCACAGUACCUUGUAUCUCUCACAGCCUAACAAAGAAUUUGAAUUAAAGUGGUGCAAUAUACUUGUUCCCAUUUGUCUAUUGUAAACUCUUAUCAAGUUAAUAGGUGUAUACAUGGAAAGAGAAUGCCCCCAGUGGAGACAUGGAUUUGGUGUUUCAAGCUAUAAAACAGUGCAACUUCUAGUUUUGGAAGAAGGAUAAGAACUCUUUUAACUCCCAGAUUUGAAUCAAAAGCUGUCUCUGCAAUUAGUUUUCUGCUUUUGUUCUCUUUCAUUGAACGGUAAUGUCUUAACUUGAUAAAGGAUGAAUCAAUAUUCUUUCAUGUUUGGGUUAAUAGGUGUAUACAUGGAAAGAGAGUGCCCACAGUGGACAUGGAUUUUGUGUUUCUAGCUAUAUAACAAUGCAACUUCCAGUUUAGGAAGGAGGAUAAGAACUCUUUUAACUCCCAGAUUUGGAUCAAAAGCUGUCUCUGCAAUUAUUUUUCUGCUUUUGUUCUCUUGCAUUGAACGGUAAUGUCUUAACUUGAUAAAGGAUUAAUCAACAUUUCUUUCAUGUCUGGGUUAAUAGUUGUAUACAUGGAAAGAGAAUGCCCCCAGUGGACAUGGAUUUGGUGUUUCAAGCUAUAAAAUAAUGCAACUUCUAGAUUUGAAUCAAAAGCGCUCUCUGCAAUUAUUUUUCUGCUUUUGUUCUCUUUCAUUGAACGGUAAUGUCUUAAACUUGAUAAAGGAUGAAUCAACAUUUCUUUCAUGUUUGGGUUAAUAGGUGUAUACAUGGAAAGAGAAUGCCCAAGUGCACAUCGAUUUGGUGUUUCAAGCUAUAAAACAAUGCAACUUCUAGUUUUGGAAGGAGGAUAAGAACUUCUUAACUCCCUUGUUUAAAUUCAAAGCUGUCUCUGAAAUUAUUUUUCUGUGUUUUGUUCUUAUGUUGAAUGGUAUGAACUCUUAACUUGAUAAAAGGAUGAAUCAACGUUUCUUUCAUGUCUGGGUAUAAUAGGUGUAUACAUGGAAGAGAGUGCCCACGGUGGACAUGGAUUUGGUGUUUCUAGCUGUAUAACAAUGCAACUUCCAGUUUUGGAAGGAGGACAAGAACUCUUUAACUCCUAGAUUCGAAUCAAAAGCUGUGUCUGCAAUUAUUUUUCUGCUUUAGUUCUCUUUCAUUGAACGGUAAUGUCUUAACUUGAUAAAGGAUGAAUCAACAUUUCUUUCAUGUUUGGGUUAAUAGGUGUAUACAUGGAAAGAGAAUGCCCCCAGUGGACAUGGAUUUGGUGUUUCAAGCUAUAAAACAAUGCAACUUCUAGUUUUGGAAGGAGGAUAAGAACUUUUUAACUCCCUUAUUUGAAUUCUAAGCUGUCCCUGAAAUUAUUUGUCUGCAUUUUGUUCUCGUGUUGAAUGGUAUAAAGACUUAACUUGAUAAAGGAUGAAUCAACGUUUCUUUCAUGUCUGGGUAUAAUAGGUGUAUACAUGGAAGAGCUGGGUAUGAUAGGUGUACACAUGGAAGAGAGUGCCCACAGUCUACAUGGAUUUGGUGUUUCUAGCUGUAUAACAAUGCAACUUCCAGUUUUGGAAGGAGGAUAAGAACUCUUUUAACUCCCAGAUUUGAAUCAAAAGCUAUCUCUGCAAUUAUUUUUCUGCUUUUGUUCUCUUGCAUUGAACAGUAAUGUAUAUCAAGGAUGAAUCAACAUUUCUUUUACGUCUGGGUUUAUAGGUGUAUACAUGGAAAGAGAAUGCCCCAGUGCACAUGGAUUUGGUGUUUCAAGCUAUAAAACAUUGCAACUUCUAGUUUUGGAAGGAGAAUAAGAAACUAGGAGGAGGAUAAGAACUUCUUAACUCCCUUAUUUGAAUUCAAAGCUGUCUCUGAAAUUUUUUUUUCUGAGUUUUGUUCUCGUUGAAUGGUAUGAAGUCUUAGCUUGAUAAAAGAUGAAUCAACGUUUCUUUCAUGUCUGGGUAUAAUAGAUGUAUACAUGGAAGAGAGUGCCCACAGUGGACAUGGAUUUGGUGUUUCUAGCUAUAUAACAAUGCAACUUCCAGUUUAGGAAGGAGGAUAAGAACUCUUAACUCCCAGAUUUGAAUCAAAAGCUGUCUCUGCAAUUAUUUUUCUGCCUUUGUUCUCUUGCAUUGAACGGUAAUGUCUUAACUUGAUAAAGGACGAAUCAACAUUUCUUUUACGUGUGGGUUAAUAGGUGUAUACAUGGAAAGAGAAUGCCCAAGUGCACAUGGAUUUGGUGUUUCAAACUAUAAAACAAUGCCAACUUCUAGUUUUGGAAGAGGAGGAUAAGAACUUCUUAACUCCCUUAUUUAAAUUCAAAGCUGUGUCUGAAAUUUUUUUUCUGUGUUUUGUUCUCAUGUUGAAUGGUAUGAAGUCUUAACUUGAUAAAAGGAUGAAUCAACGUUUCUUUCAUGUCUGGGUAUAAUAGGUGUAUACAUGGAAGAGAGUGCACACAGUGGACAUGGAUUUGGUGUUUCUAGCUAUAUAACAAUGCAACUUCCAGUUUAGGAAGGAGGAUAAGAACUCUUUAACUCCUAGAUUUGAAUCAAAAGCUGUCUCUGCAAUUAUUUUUCUGCUUAGUUCUCUUGCAUUGAACGGUAAUGUCUUAACUUGAUAAAGGAUGAAUCAACAUUUCUUUCAUGUUUGGGUUAAUAGGUGUAUACAUGGAAAGAGAAUGCCCCCAGUGGACAUGGAUUUGGUGUUUCAAGCUAUAAAACAAUGCAACUUCUAGUUUUGGAAGGAGGAUAAGAACUUCUUAACUCCCUUAUUUGAAUUCUAAGCUGUCCCUGAAAUUAUUUUUCUGCGUUUUGUUCUCGUGUUGAAUGGUAUAAAGACUUAACUUGAUAAAGGAUGAAUCAACGUUUCUUUCAUGUCUGGGUAUAAUAGGUGUAUACAUGGAAGAGCUGGGUAUAAUAGGUGUACACAUGGAAGAGAGUGCCCACAGUGGACAUGGAUUUGGUGUUUCUAGCUGUAUAACAAUGCAACUUCCAGUUUUGGAAGGAGGAUAAGAACUCUUUAACUCCCAGAUUUGAAUCAAAAGCUAUCUCUGCAAUUAUUUUUCUGCUUUUGUUCUCUUGCAUUGAACAGUAAUGUAUUAACUUGAUAAAGGAUGAAUCAACAUUUCUUUUACGUCUGGGUUGAUAGGUGUAUACAUGGAAAGAGAAUGCCCCAGUGCACAUGGAUUUGGUGUUUCAAGCUAUAAAACAUUGCAACUUCUAGUUUUGGAAGGAGGAUAAGAAACUAGAAGGAGGAUAAGAACUUCUUAACUCCCUUAUUUGAAUUCAAAGCUGUCUCUGAAAUUAUUUUUUCUGAGUUUUGUUCUCGUUGAAUGGUAUGAAGUCUUAGCUUGAUAAAAGAUGAAUCAACGUUUCUUUCAUGUCUGGGUAUAAUAGAUGUAUACAUGGAAGAGAGUGCCCACAGUGGACAUGGAUUUGGUGUUUCUAGCUAUAUAACAAUGCAACUUCCAGUUUAGGAAGGAGGAUAAGAACUCUUUAACUCGCAGAUUUGAAUCAAAAGCUGUCUCUGCAAUUAUUUUUCUGCCUUUGUUCUCUUGCAUUGAACGGUAAUGUCUUAACUUGAUAAAGGACGAAUCAACAUUUCUUUUACGUGUGGGUUAAUAGGUGUAUACAUGGAAAGAGAAUGCCCAAGUGCACAUGGAUUUGGUGUUUCAAGCUAUAAAACAAUGCAACUUCUAGUUUUGGAAGGAGGAUAAGAACUUCUUAACUCCCUUAUUUAAAUUCAAAGCUGUCUCUGAAAUUAUUUUUCUGUGUUUUGUUCUCAUGUUGAAUGGUAUGAAGUCUUAACUUGAUAAAAGGAUGAAUCAACGUUUCUUUCAUGUCUGGGUAUAAUAGGUGUAUACAUGGAAGAGAGUGCACACAGUGGACAUGGAUUUGGUGUUUCUAGCUAUAUAACAAUGCAACUUCCAGUUUUGGAAGGAGGACAAGAACUCUUUUAACUCCUAGAUUCGAAUCAAAAGCUGUGUCUGCAAUUAUUUUUCUGCUUUAGUUCUCUUUCAUUGAACGGUAAUGUCUUAACUUGAUAAAAGAUGAAUCAACAUUUCUUUCAUGUUUGGGUUAAUAGGUGUAUACAUGGAAAGAGAAUGCCCCCAGUGGACAUGGAUUUGGCGUUUCAAGCUAUAAAACAAUGCAACUUCUAGUUUUGGAAGGAGGAUAAGAACUUUUCAACUCCCUUAUUUGAAUUCUAAGCUGUCCCUGAAAUUAUUUUUCUGCAUUUUGUUCUCGUGUUGAAUGGUAUAAAGACUUAACUUGAUAAAGGAUGAAUCAACGUUUCUUUCAUGUCUGGGUAUAAUAGGUGUAUACAUGGAAGAGCUGGGUAUGAUAGGUGUACACAUGGAAGAGAGUGCUCACAGUGGACAUUGAUUUGGUGUUUCUAGCUGUAUAACAAUGCAACUUCCAGUUUUGGAAGGAGGAUAAGAACCCUUUAACUCCCAGAUUUGAAUCAAAAGCUAUCUCUGCAAUUGUUUUUCUGCUUUUGUUCUCUUGCAUUGAACAGUAAUGUAUUAACUUGAUAAAGGAUGAAUCAACUUUUCUUUUACGUCUUGGUUAAUAGGUGUAUACAUGGAAAGAGAAUGCCCCAGUGCACAUGGAUUUGGUGUUUCAAGCUAUAAAACAAUGCAACUUCUAGUUUUGGAAGGAGGAUAAGAAACUAGGAGGAGGAUAAGAACUUCUUAACUCCCUUAUUUGAAUUCAAAGCUGUCUCUGAAAUUGUUUUUUCUGAGUUUUGUUCUCGUUGAAUGGUAUGAAGUCUUAGCUUGAUAAAAGAUGAAUCAACUUUUCUUUCAUGUCUGGGUAUAACAGAUGUAUACAUGGAAGAGAGUGCCCACAGUGGACAUGGAUUUGGUGUUUCUAGCUAUAUAACAAUGCAACUUCCAGUUUAGGAAGGAGGAUAAGAACUCUUUAACUCCCAGAUUUGAAUCAAAAGCUGUCUCUGCAAUUAUUUUUCUGCCUUUGUUCUCUUGCAUUGAACGGUAAUGUCUUAACUUGAUAAAGGAUGAAUCGACAUUUCUUUCAUGUCUGGGUUAAUAGGUGUCUACAUGGAAAGAGAAUGCCCCAGUGGACAUGGAUUUGGUGUUCAAAGCUAUAAAACAAUGCAACUUCUAGUUUUGGAAGGAGGAUAAGAACUUCUUAACUCCCUUAUUUGAAUUCAAUGCUGUCUCUGAAAUUAGUUUUCUGCGUUUUGUUCUCGUGUUGAUGGUAUGAAGUCUUUAACUUGGUAAAGGAUGAAUCAGCAUUUCUUUAAUGUCUGGGUAUAAUAGGUGUAUACAUGGAAGAGAGUGCCCACAGUGGACAUGGAUUUGGUGUUUCUAGCUAUAUAACAAUGCAACUUCCAGUUUAGGAAGGAGGAUAAUAACUCUUUUAACUCCCAGAUUUGAAUCAAAAGCUGUCUCUGCAAUUAUUUUUCUGCUUUUGUUCUCUUGCAUUGAACGGUAAUGUCAUAACUUGAUAAAGGAUGAAUCAACAUUUCUUUCAUGUCUGGGUUAAUAGGUGUAAACAUCGAAAGAGAAUGCCCCCAGUGGACAUGGAUUUGGUGUUUCAAGCUAUAAAACAAUGCAACUUCUAGUUUUGGAACGAGGAUAAGAACUUCUUAACUCCCUUAUUUGGAUUCAAAGCUGUCUCUGAAAUUAUUUUUCUGCGUUUUGUUCUCGUGUUGAAUGGUAUGAAGCCUUAAACUUGAUAAAGGAUGAAUCAACGUUUCGUUCAUGUUUGGGUUAAUAGGUGUAUACAUGGAAGAGAGUGCCCGCAGUGGACAUGGAUUUGGUGUUUCUAGCUAUAUAACAAUGCAUCUUCCAGUUUUGGAAGGAGGAUAAGAACUCUUUAACUCCCAGAUUUGAAUCAAAAGCUCUCUGCAAUUAUUUUUCUGCUUUUGUUCUCUUGCAUUGAACGGUAAUGUCUUACUUGAUAAAGGGGGAUGAAUCAACAUUUCUUUCAUGUCUGGGUUAAUAGGUGUAUACAUGGAAAGAGAAUGCCCCCAGGGGACAUGGAUUUGCGAAUAUGUUAAUUUCUGAAUUUGGCCUUUUGUGAACAUAACCAAUGAAAAUAUCAUUCAAUUUGUUUAUUUGUGCUGACUCGUGAAUUUCCUAUAGUGAACGGUGAUUUAGCAACCACUUCUGGAAAUUUUAUAUGGUUGGUGUAAUGGGCUAUGCUUGAAUUUUAUAUAGUUGGUGUAAUGAGCUAUGCUUGAAUUUUAUAUAGUUGGUGUAAUGGGCUAUAUGCUUGAUUAUGCAAGCCUAGUUCCAAAUGAUUAAAGAGCAUUAAAUUUGUCAAUUUCUGAAUCUGGUCUUUCUUGGUUUACUCUUAAUCCAAGAGCGUUAAAUUUGUUUUUGAUGCCAACCUAGGUUAUUGCAGAGAUAUAAAAGGGUGAAGUGUAACAAUAUAUAUUACCUCAUUACAGUGAAGUGACAAUGAAGUCGAAGUGGUGCAAGGUCUCAUCCCAUACCAUCUUCUUAUGUUUCUUCUAUUGUACUUCUGGUAGUUGUCUGUAGUGAAUUUGAUACAUGAAUUUGUUCAUGAGGGGUACUGCGUUUGUUAUUUGUGUGGGUGAUUGAAGCACGUGCUUCUUGGUUGAGAGUCGAAACUGAGUAAAGUUUUACUUAUCAUCCCUGUUCUGUUGGGUUCUGAUGUUUUGUGACAGUUCUCGAACAGUGAAUUUUUCGUGACUGGUAGAGUUAGCAACUACAUCUGCUUAGUCUAUAUAGGUUGGAUGAUUGGCUGUGCUUGAUUAUAACCGUUAAUUUUUGAAUCGGGUUUGUAUCAACUUGUUUUUGACGCUAAGUUAGAUUUUUGUAGCGAAAUAAAAGGACAGUGAAGUAACAAUGAAGGAUAGAAGUGCUGCUAGGUUUCAUGCUUAACCUUACAAAUUUAUUCCCUCGCCAUAUAGUUUUACCAGCGUACAAUGUUUUUUCAGUUGAACUUUUGGUAGUUGUCUGUAGUGAACAUCACAUAUGAAGCGUACAAUGUUUUUUCGGUUGAACUUUUGAUUGUUGUCUGUAGUGAACAUCACAUAUGAAGUUGUUCAUGGGGGACUGAGUUUGUGAUUUGGGUGGGUUUUGUACAAAUUAUUAUAGUCGGUGAUUGAAUUACUCGAUCGAUCCAGAUGCAGCUUCUUGGUUGAGAGCUGGAACCAAGUAAAGUUGGAGCUGUUGCAUAUUGGCGUAAGUGGCGUGAAGUUUCAAUAAGCAUUUUCCAUAUAGCGCAGUCCUAUUAUCCAUGGUUGUGAGGUUUUAGGAUUCAGCAUUUGCCCAGUCACCGGCUAAUGAUCCAUCUCCAAUUUUAUUUUGGCAGUUGUAUGGCAACAACUUUUAUCAAUUUGGUGUUUAAUCACCUUAGAAGAUCGAAUUAAUUAUUUUAUACUAAUAAUGUUUUGAUCACGUUUGUCUUUAAUUCUUCUUUAAUUCGCCGAUAGGCCACAUAUAGGGCGAAAGCCCACCGGAUUUUCCUCAUGUCUGAUGCCGGAUUAUUUUCUAGUGUCUGACAAUGGAAAAAUUUACUGUGUCGUAUUUACGGAGUUAUAGCUCA
This is a long non-coding RNA of Cryptomeria japonica (Japanese cedar), 10746 nucleotides long. RefSeq lists it as uncharacterized. Lineage: Eukaryota; Viridiplantae; Streptophyta; Pinopsida; Cupressales; Cupressaceae. The record is from RefSeq and is a predicted model, not a curated record. The transcript has 2 exons.